CGGCUGCGGCAGGGUUUCCCCUGUGUCACUUGCACCGUGCCCGCUUUUACCAACUUACGUAUCUUUUCCAUUCGGCCCG
RNAcentral lists this ribosomal RNA (79 nucleotides) under Lotmaria passim. RNAcentral's name for it is "partial small subunit ribosomal RNA". The record is from RNAcentral. Lineage: Eukaryota; Euglenozoa; Kinetoplastea; Trypanosomatida; Trypanosomatidae.